CAAGCGGUGGAGCAUGUGGUUUAAUUCGAUGCAACGCGAAGAACCUUACCUACUCUUGACAUCCAGCGAACUUAGCAGAGAUGCUUUGGUGCCUUCGGGAACGCUGAGACAGGUGCUGCAUGGCUGUCGUCAGCUCGUGUUGUGAAAUGUUGGGUUAAGUCCCGCAACGAGCGCAACCCUUAUCCUUUGUUGCCAGCGAUACGGUCGGGGACUCAAAGGAGACUGCCGGUGAUAAACCGGAGGAAGGUGGGGAUGACGUCAAGUCGUCAUGGCCCUUACGAGUAGGGCUACACACGUGCUACAAUGGCGCAUACAAAGAGAAGCGACCUCGCGAGAGCAAGCGGACCUCAGAAAGUGCGUCGUAGUCCGGAUCGGAGUCUGCAACUCGACUCCGUGAAGUCGGAAUCGCUAGUAAUCGUGGAUCAGAAUGCCACGGUGAAUACGUUCCCGGGCCUUGUACACACC
This 465-nucleotide ribosomal RNA is filed under the name uncultured bacterium. RNAcentral's name for it is "bacterial SSU rRNA". It matches the Rfam family "Bacterial small subunit ribosomal RNA", at positions 926 to 1391 of the family's 1533-position model. The record is from RNAcentral.